GACGGAGGAUGCAAGUGUUAUCCGGAAUCACUGGGCGUAAAGCGUCUGUAGGUGGUUUAAUAAGUCAACUGUUAAAUCUUGAGGCUCAACCUCAAAAUCGCAGUCGAAACUAUUAGGCUAGAUUAUAGUAGGGGUAAAGGGAAUUUCCAGUGGAGCGGUGAAAUGCGUAGAGAUUGGAAAGAACACCGAUGGCGAAGGCACUUUACUGGACCACAACUGACACUCAGGGACGAAAGCUAGGGGAGCGAAUGGG
Molecule: ribosomal RNA, 253 nt
Filed under: uncultured bacterium
Lineage: Bacteria
Description: partial 16S ribosomal RNA
Rfam family: Bacterial small subunit ribosomal RNA
Source: RNAcentral